GAUGAACGCUGGCGGCGUGCCUAAUACAUGCAAGUCGAGCGAACAGACGAGGAGCUUGCUCCUCUGACGUUAGCGGCGGACGGGUGAGUAACACGUGGAUAACCUACCUAUAAGACUGGGAUAACUUCGGGAAACCGGAGCUAAUACCGGAUAAUAUAUUGAACCGCAUGGUUCAAUAGUGAAAGAUGGUUUUGCUGUCACUUAUAGAUGGAUCCGCGCCGCAUUAGCUAGUUGGUAAGGUAACGGCUUACCAAGGCGACGAUGCGAAGCCGACCUGAGCGGAUGAGCGGCCACACUGGAACUGAAACACGGUCCAGACUCCGACGGGAGGCAGCAGUAGGGAAUCUUCCGCAAUGGGCGAAAGCCUGACGGAGCAACGCCGCGUGAGUGAUGAAGGUCUUCGGAUCGUAAAACUCUGUUAUUAGGGAAGAACAAAUGUGUAAGUAACUAUGCACGUCUUGACGGUACCUAAUCAGAAAGCCACGGCUAACUACGUG
RNAcentral lists this ribosomal RNA (497 nucleotides) under uncultured bacterium. RNAcentral's name for it is "partial 16S ribosomal RNA". It matches the Rfam family "Bacterial small subunit ribosomal RNA", at positions 28 to 507 of the family's 1533-position model. The record is from RNAcentral.